Long non-coding RNA from Spea bombifrons (plains spadefoot toad), 1298 nucleotides. RefSeq lists it as uncharacterized. The transcript is spliced from 2 exons. The record is from RefSeq and is a predicted model, not a curated record. Lineage: Eukaryota; Metazoa; Chordata; Amphibia; Anura; Pelobatidae.
CAGGUUAGUGCUUGUGUCAAGAUGGUGGCUAGCAGGGGGCUACUGCUUAACCAGUGUCGCCGCAGUUGCUUGAUGGGAAGGAGGAAGAGAAAUGUCUGAGUUUUCCAUGCAAAAGUUGGAGUCUAUUAUGUAAUGAUUUAUAAACGUUAAGAUGCCUUUUUUAAUACGACAACCCCAUCGUGUAUCAAUUGAAAGAGCCUGAUUUUCUUCUAUCUAGAUUCUAGAGGGACAGCUAAAAGCCCACCUAAUUUUGGAUGAUCCUGCUGGGAACAGCUACCUACAGAAUGUAUAUGCUCCUGAGCAGGAUCCAGAGAUGACCAUAGAAAGCUAUGAGAGGACAUUUGAACAGAAUGAAGACCUGGGGCUUAAUGACAUGAAAACAGAGGGAUAUGAUCAGAAUGAAUGUUAAGUACACCUCUUGGGACUCGGACAUCAUGUCCAAGGAACACCAAACCAGAAGAACGUCUGAGGUUUCUCUUGUUGGUUUCAAUGAGUUCUCAGCUGAAUUGACUACAAAUGUGACCUGGUUAGCAUGGGAUAUCUUGGAAAAGGAAAGGACUUGGCACCUCUGCAGAGUGUCACACAAAGUAUAAUUCUGCAAGUGUGUCCCGUUCUUAAUAGUUGUGCUAAAAAUGACUGUUCUUUAAAGAGCAACCUGAGCGUUGGAAAGGCUUUUCUGAAAACCUGCACAGUCAAGUGAGUUUUGAAGACCUGACUAGGGACCGCAGCUUUAUAGCUCAUUUUGAGAAGGCCAUCAUGGGCCAUUUUUUAUGUUAACACAAUUUGUUCUGAAUGUUCUUCAGUGUAAAACAAAUCUGUUAUACACAGGCAAGGAAAACACCUUCCCUAUUUUGGUAUAUAGAUGCUGCAGUGAAAAUAUAGCGCAUGUGUACGCUCAAGACAGCAGAUCACACCUGAAUCUCUAGAACAUUGGAACUUUCUCUAUACUUUGGCAGAAUGGUAAAUGUUAAACUGCAGUAGACGAUAGAAAAGCCAAGUAUUUUCAAUUGUAUUUUCUUAUUCAAAUUUAUGAAUGUGUGUUUUAUUUAUAAUGUUGCUAUCUCAGGAACAUUUAUCUGCUAUGCUUAAGACUGUUGCAUGCAGACUUUCUGCCUAAAAUAAUUAAAAAUAAAUCCGUAAUAUGUCUGACAUUGCAGAGGUGAUAUGCAAUGUGUCCAGCAGUAAUCCUGGUUUGGCUUGGUGGGGUUAUGUUAGGACAGGAACGCUAUAAAUGUUAGCUGUAGUAUUCUUGUUUUUUCUUUUCAUACCUGUCCAAAUAAAAUGCAGAUCUUACCUAA